This 478-nucleotide ribosomal RNA is filed under the name uncultured bacterium. RNAcentral describes it as "partial 16S ribosomal RNA". It matches the Rfam family "Bacterial small subunit ribosomal RNA", at positions 28 to 523 of the family's 1533-position model. The record is from RNAcentral.
GACGAACGCUGGCGGCGUGCUUAACACAUGCAAGUCGAACGGUAAGGCCCUUCGGGGUACACGAGUGGCGAACGGGUGAGUAACACGUGGGUGAUCUGCCCUACACUUCGGGAUAAGCCUGGGAAACUGGGUCUAAUAUCGGAUAGGACCCUGGGAUGCAUGUCCUGGGGUGGAAAGCUUUUGCGGUGUGGGAUGGGCCCGCGGCCUAUCAGCUUGUUGGUGGGGUGAUGGCCUACCAAGGCGACGACGGGUAGCCGGCCUGAGAGGGUGACCGGCCACACUGGGACGGAGAUACGGCCCAGGCUCCUACGGGAGGCAGCAGUGGGGAAUAUUGCACAAUGGGCGCAAGCCUGAUGCAGCGACGCCGCGUGAGGGAUGACGGCCUUCGGGUUGUAAACCUCUUUCAGCACCGACGAAGCGCAAGUGACGGUAGGUGCAGAAGAAGGACCGGCCAACUACGUGCCAGCCGCCGCCGUAA